This 1403-nucleotide long non-coding RNA is filed under the name Equus caballus (horse). RNAcentral describes it as "lncRNA (ENSECAG00000035303.3)". Lineage: Eukaryota; Metazoa; Chordata; Mammalia; Perissodactyla; Equidae. The record is from RNAcentral.
GAAUGGUUCUUAUGUCACAAAAUAUAUUCAGUGGGUCUGUAGUAGAUCAAAGCAACUGAAUGCCUGGGUGGAUCAAGGUGGUGAUCUCUUUUCGUCCUGUAGCAAAGUAGACUUGUGGGUGUGGUCUGCCUUCACUGAGAUGGAAAUAAGAAAUUACAACUAGAGACCAUCAGAUCUGUAAGGCCUGGAGAGCCACGCAGAAGGAUGCAGACUGGUCAUCGGGCAGGAGUAUUGGUGCACAGAUGGCCAGUAUUGGAGGCUGAGACUUGAGAGAUGUCAAACAUCUGAGUGGGAUGGGAAAAAAUGAAGCUGAGAGUGUUGCAAUGAACUUCCCAAGGUCAUUCAUCUGCUGAGGAGUCCUUAUGCUAAGUCUUGGAAGGGAAUGGCCCGUUUCCUCUCAAUUCCAUCUGGAUCCUUCUAUUCAGCUGAGAUUAAUAGAUUCAGCUAAUGAGUCACCCUGUCAGUGUCUAGUUAUUUAGCAGUGGAGUUAAAAAAACCUUCUACCUCUCCUUAUAGCAAUUAAAUUCCUUAGCUAAAGAAAUCAUUCAAGAAGAAGAUAUAAAGUUAUGAAAAAUAGAAGAUUUGCCUCUUUCUGAGUAACAGAAGGGGUAUUUUUUAAGAUAUGAUUUCAAAAUGGCUACAUUUGGAUGGAUUCAGAUACAAUGAGAUGUCUACAAAUUAGAUUUGGUGUUUACUACAGCUGGUGAAUGAGAUAGUAUGACCUUUCCUUUACAUACCUGGCCGCCCGAUGAAUUACAUAUAUGAUUAAUGUGUGUGACUGUAUACAUGUGGAUGUGAGUGUUUACCAACUCUGCCUAUUUCCUUUGUCGAAGCACAAUGGAUGAUGACAGUAAAUGAUUACAUAUAGACUACAAGAAAUUAGAGCCCCUACAAUAUAGGAAUCUCAACUUUAUGCUCUGCUUUUUUCCCCCUGUAAUUGACUCCCUGAAACAUUAGACUCAAAAGAAAAGGAGCACUAGUACAUUUAUGAGUGCCUAUGAUUCACAAGAACAGCUCUUUUAUGUUGGCUGUAAUAAUGCCAUUCCGGGUAAUGGACCAGACAGAAAGGAAGAAAACGCAGGACCAGAAGAGCCACAAACAACAUUUCAGGAUCAGCGUAAUGGUUGCCAGAACAUGAAAAAUCGCAGAGCUUCCAGGCCCUGAGCCAACCUUAUUCAGGACUCAGGGGGGAAAAAACCAGUCUGGGUAAAUUCUCAGUGUAAACUCCGAGGGGAGCACAUCACUAUGUCAGCCUAAAGAGAGGAUGAACCCCUGCACCUCUGUCUCGGCUUACUGUUAUUCCACCCCCAGCAAAAUGCACACUAAGUUUAAAAUGUCACCUUUGGGCUUCCUUUCACUCAGCUUACUCAGCUCAUCUUUACAGAUUGCAUCCACACCCUGUG